Podarcis lilfordi (Lilford's wall lizard) is the source of this 64-nucleotide non-coding RNA. The record is from the annotation of a GenBank genome assembly. Lineage: Eukaryota; Metazoa; Chordata; Lepidosauria; Squamata; Lacertidae.
GGCUCAGUGGUAGAGCACCUGCUUUGCAUGCAGGAGGUACCAAGUUCAAUUCCUGGCGUCUCCA